CGGAGGGUGCAAGCGUUAUCCGGGAUUCACUGGGUUUAAAGGGUGCGUAGGCGGGCAGGUAAGUCCGUGGUGAAAUCUCUGAGCUUAACUCAGAAACUGCCAUGGAUACUAUUUGUCUUGAAUGUUGUGGAGGUAAGCGGAAUAUGUCAUGUAGCGGUGAAAUGCUUAGAUAUGACAUAGAACACCAAUUGCGAAGGCAGCUUACUACACAAAUAUUGACGCUGAGGCACGAAAGCGUGGGGAUCAAACAGGAUUAGAUACCCUGGUAGUCCACGCCCUAAACGAUGAUUACUCGACAUCAGCGAUACACUGUUGGUGUCUGAGCGAAAGCAUUAAGUAAUCCACCUGGGAAGUACGAUCGCAAGAUUG
Molecule: ribosomal RNA, 369 nt
Filed under: uncultured organism
Description: bacterial SSU rRNA
Rfam family: Bacterial small subunit ribosomal RNA
Source: RNAcentral